CAGCCGCCGCGGGAAUACGAAGGGUGCAAGCGUUACUCGGAAUUACUGGGCGUAAAGCGUGCGUAGGUGGUGGUUUAAGUCCGUUGUGAAAGCCCUGGGCUCAACCUGGCAAUUGCAGUGGAUACUGGGUCACUAGAGUGUGGUAGAGGAUAGUGGAAUUUCCGGUGUAGCAGUGAAAUGCGUAGAGAUCGGAAGGAACAUCUGUGGCGAAGGCGACUAUCUGGGCCAACACUGACACUGAGGCACGAAAGCGUGGGGAGCAAACAGGAUUAGAUACCCCAGUAGUCCCUGUCUCUUAUAC
RNAcentral lists this ribosomal RNA (301 nucleotides) under uncultured bacterium. RNAcentral's name for it is "partial 16S ribosomal RNA". It matches the Rfam family "Bacterial small subunit ribosomal RNA", at positions 509 to 807 of the family's 1533-position model. The record is from RNAcentral.